Molecule: non-coding RNA, 2179 nt
Organism: Elaeis guineensis (African oil palm)
Lineage: Eukaryota; Viridiplantae; Streptophyta; Magnoliopsida; Arecales; Arecaceae
Source: RefSeq, a predicted model, not a curated record
CACCCUCUCCCUUCUCCUCUAAAUAGAGUUCUCUUCUUCGCAUCUCCUCGCUUCUUCCGCUGAAAAAAAAAGGCUCGCUCAGAGAGCUGGAGAAAGGGAGAGACGUUGGAAGGGAAGAGGCAGCCAUGUUGUAUUCGCAGUCCCUUCUAUCAAGGAAGGGGCCUUUAUGCAACAUAUGGAUUGCUGCGUUUUGGUUCAAGAAGCUGAAGAAAGACCAGAUUGCCGACACUGAUAUCUCCUCUUCUGUUGAUAAGAUCAUGCCUGAGGUUCAAAUUUCAUAUAGAGUAUUGGCUCAGCUACUUCUGGGUAUUGUCAGGAUAUUUUCAAAGAAAGUUGACUAUCUUUACCAUGACUGCAAUGAGGCUUUGACUAAUAUAAGAAAAUCAUUUAUGGCUAGUCAACGGACUGUACAAAAUGAAGCAAUUGCCAAACCACGACAUACUGUUACACAAACCAAAAAGGCGAUAGAUGUGCCAGAUCAGAGAGUUAAUAGUGCAGAAGAAGCAAUGCCCACAGCACCAAUUGAAGCCAUGCGUGCACCACAUAAUCAUGUUACUAUCACUGUACCAGAAAGAUUUGAACUUGAUUCCUUUGAUCUGGAUAUCUCAGAUGAAUGUGAGACUGCCAAAUCACAUGAGCAGCCCAUAGCUCAAGAUGAGUGGACAGACGAAAGGUAUCAGACCUUUCUUCUAAAUGAGCAGUAUCACAGGGAAACAGUAACUCAUGCUGAGUUCAAUUCUGCUUGUUUUACUCCAAUGGAUGAUGUUCUUCCAUCUCACAUGAUGGAUAUUGAUUUCGAAAUUAGUGAAAUCUACAACUCGAACAGCCUAGGAGUAAGAGGGGAAAAAACUUGGGGAUAUUCUCAGCAUAUAGAAGAAAGUGGGAGUUUUGCAGGUUUAGUGGCCAUGGAAUCACUGGGCCCUAAUGUACACAAUGUGGAAUCAGAUCAUCAAGUGCAUCCUCUAAAGCCGCAAAAGAUGACAUCAUCAGAUCCUGACAAAAACAUAUGCGCUAAGGAAUCACUGAAACUGGUAGAGCCAACUAUGUUGCAUCAGACAGUAUCAUCAGAUCAUGAAAAAAAUGAAGUCCAUGUGGGGGAAGAUUCAAAAGCUACAAGUCCAUCCAAAACUUAUGAUAGAACAUACUUACCAUGUGAUUUAGGGCUUGCUUCACCAAAAUUUACAGUCAGAACUCCAGCUAAAAAGGAACGUCCUUUGAUGCUGAGAAAAAGAAAAAUUCUUUUUGAUGAAACAAUUGUGUUGUCUAAUGAGACUUUGAGGCAGGGAAUACAUGAUGCUAGUAGUUUAAUAUGCAAGCGGAGGAAAGCACCUCACACAUUUCUGGAUGCCUGGAAGGCUGACAUAAUCCCCAAUUUGCAGCAAACUUUUAUGGAUCCUCUGGUGCCCUGUACUUCUUCAGAGCUCAAAGCUCUCUUCCAGAACAAAUCAUCCAAUUAUUUAUCAGCAGAGAAGACACUUGCAGACUAUCACACUGAAUCAGGGAAGGCACAAAAUGGAAUACCCAACAAAUCUGCUGACAAUGAAGAAACAUGCCAGGAAAGAAUCAUUGAAACUCCAGCAACAGAAAGGUUUGCUGAGGAACCCAGAACUAGUAAAUCAUCUGAAAUUGAAAUCACCAAGCCAUCUUCUUUGGAAACAUCAGACACUGAAUUGGAUUUGAUGGAUAGGGAGCUUGGCUCUCAUGAAGAAAGCAAUAUAGGUCCAGAUAACAGAUGGUCAGUCCGAACUAGUUACUUCCCUUUUUUCCAGGGCCGUGGCACAGUACCUUCGCAGUAAGUUGCUAGAUAUUAAAAAUCGAGAACAAAAAGGAUUCUUAAGUUUGGCUCGAAUCCUAGAAGGGAAGACUAGAAGAAAAUGUGCUAGAUUCUUUUAUGAAACUCUGAUCCUAAAGAGCCGUGCGUGUAUAGAUGUUAAGCAGGACUGUCCUCAUGGUGACAUUAUCAUCUCAGCUGGCUCUCAACUUGAAGCGGAGUUUAACAAUCCAUAGUGUGCAGGAACAGGACGGAGGAUGUCUAUUUUGACGUCUGUGUAAAGUUUUUGUCAGCUGCCCGGCAAACAGCUCUGUAUAUAUUAUGGUUUUGGUUUAAAAUCAAACAGUUUCCGACAUGAAAAUUUCCGCUUUUUAAGAAAGCAGAUUCAGUUCAUAUAUUUUUCCAGAA